RNAcentral lists this ribosomal RNA (411 nucleotides) under uncultured Escherichia sp. RNAcentral describes it as "bacterial SSU rRNA". It matches the Rfam family "Bacterial small subunit ribosomal RNA", at positions 29 to 436 of the family's 1533-position model. The record is from RNAcentral. Lineage: Bacteria; Pseudomonadati; Pseudomonadota; Gammaproteobacteria; Enterobacterales; Enterobacteriaceae.
AUGAACGCUGGCGGCAGGCCUAACACAUGCAAGUCGAACGGUAACAGGAAGCAGCUUGCUGCUUUGCUGACGAGUGGCGGACGGGUGAGUAAUGUCUGGGAAACUGCCUGAUGGAGGGGGAUAACUACUGGAAACGGUAGCUAAUACCGCAUAACGUCGCAAGACCAAAGAGGGGGACCUUCGGGCCUCUUGCCAUCGGAUGUGCCCAGAUGGGAUUAGCUAGUAGGUGGGGUAAAGGCUCACCUAGGCGACGAUCCCUAGCUGGUCUGAGAGGAUGACCAGCCACACUGGAACUGAGACACGGUCCAGACUCCUACGGGAGGCAGCAGUGGGGAAUAUUGCACAAUGGGCGCAAGCCUGAUGCAGCCAUGCCGCGUGUAUGAAGAAGGCCUUCGGGUUGUAAAGUACUUU